GUGCUCGCUUUGGCAACACAUAUACGAAAAUUGGAACGAUACAGAUAAUAUUAGCAUGGCCCCUGUGCAAGGAUGACGCACAAGUUCGUGAAGCAUUCCAUAUUUUU
Small nuclear RNA from Phodopus roborovskii (desert hamster), 107 nucleotides. The record is from RefSeq and is a predicted model, not a curated record. Lineage: Eukaryota; Metazoa; Chordata; Mammalia; Rodentia; Cricetidae.